GCGAGAGUGGCGGAAUAGGCAGACGCGGCAGACUCAAAAUCUGUUGUCCUUCAAAGACGUGGGGGUUCGAGUCCCCCCUCUCGCACCA
RNAcentral lists this transfer RNA (88 nucleotides) under Hyphomicrobiaceae bacterium. RNAcentral describes it as "tRNA-Leu". It matches the Rfam family "tRNA". From Rfam's summary of the family: Transfer RNA (tRNA) molecules are approximately 80 nucleotides in length. RNAcentral also lists the same sequence under 1 other name. Lineage: Bacteria; Pseudomonadati; Pseudomonadota; Alphaproteobacteria; Hyphomicrobiales; Hyphomicrobiaceae. The record is from RNAcentral.